This 32-nucleotide non-coding RNA is filed under the name Mus musculus (house mouse). Lineage: Eukaryota; Metazoa; Chordata; Mammalia; Rodentia; Muridae. The record is from RNAcentral.
CUAAAUGAUGGACAAUGCCAAUGCAUCAAGGU